GGGUUGUGAGGUUAAGCGACUAAGCGUACACGGUGGAUGCCUUGGCAGUCAGAGGCGAUGAAGGACGUGCUAAUCUGCGAUAAGCGUCGGUAAGGUGAUAUGAACCGUUAUAACCGGCGAUUUCCGAAUGGGGAAACCCAGUGUGAUUCGUCACACUAUCAUUAACUGAAUCCAUAGGUUAAUGAGGCGAACCGGGGGAACUGAAACAUCUAAGUACCCCGAGGAAAAGAAAUCAACCGAGAUUCCCCCAGUAGCGGCGAGCGAACGGGGAGCAGCCCAGAGCCUGAAUCAGUGUGUGUGUUAGUGGAAGCGUCUGGAAAGGCGUGCGAUACAGGGUGACAGCCCCGUACACAAAAAUGCACAUACUGUGAGCUCGAUGAGUAGGGCGGGACACGUGGUAUCCUGUCUGAAUAUGGGGGGACCAUCCUCCAAGGCUAAAUACUCCUGACUGACCGAUAGUGAACCAGUACCGUGAGGGAAAGGCGAAAAGAACCCCGGCGAGGGGAGUGAAAAAGAACCUGAAACCGUGUACGUACAAGCAGUGGGAGCACGCUUAGGCGUGUGACUGCGUACCUUUUGUAUAAUGGGUCAGCGACUUAUAUUCUGUAGCAAGGUUAACCGAAUAGGGGAGCCGAAGGGAAACCGAGUCUUAACUGGGCGUUAAGUUGCAGGGUAUAGACCCGAAACCCGGUGAUCUAGCCAUGGGCAGGUUGAAGGUUGGGUAACACUAACUGGAGGACCGAACCGACUAAUGUUGAAAAAUUAGCGGAUGACUUGUGGCUGGGGGUGAAAGGCCAAUCAAACCGGGAGAUAGCUGGUUCUCCCCGAAAGCUAUUUAGGUAGCGCCUCGUGAAUUCAUCUCCGGGGGUAGAGCACUGUUUCGGCAAGGGGGUCAUCCCGACUUACCAACCCGAUGCAAACUGCGAAUACCGGAGAAUGUUAUCACGGGAGACACACGGCGGGUGCUAACGUCCGUCGUGAAGAGGGAAACAACCCAGACCGCCAGCUAAGGUCCCAAAGUCAUGGUUAAGUGGGAAACGAUGUGGGAAGGCCCAGACAGCCAGGAUGUUGGCUUAGAAGCAGCCAUCAUUUAAAGAAAGCGUAAUAGCUCACUGGUCGAGUCGGCCUGCGCGGAAGAUGUAACGGGGCUAAACCAUGCACCGAAGCUGCGGCAGCGACGCUUAUGCGUUGUUGGGUAGGGGAGCGUUCUGUAAGCCUGUGAAGGUGUGCUGUGAGGUAUGCUGGAGGUAUCAGAAGUGCGAAUGCUGACAUAAGUAACGAUAAAGCGGGUGAAAAGCCCGCUCGCCGGAAGACCAAGGGUUCCUGUCCAACGUUAAUCGGGGCAGGGUGAGUCGACCCCUAAGGCGAGGCCGAAAGGCGUAGUCGAUGGGAAACAGGUUAAUAUUCCUGUACUUGGUGUUACUGCGAAGGGGGGACGGAGAAGGCUAUGUUGGCCGGGCGACGGUUGUCCCGGUUUAAGCGUGUAGGCUGGUUUUCCAGGCAAAUCCGGAAAAUCAAGGCCGAGGCGUGAUGACGAGGCACUACGGUGCUGAAGCAACAAAUGCCCUGCUUCCAGGAAAAGCCUCUAAGCAUCAGGUAACAUCAAAUCGUACCCCAAACCGACACAGGUGGUCAGGUAGAGAAUACCAAGGCGCUUGAGAGAACUCGGGUGAAGGAACUAGGCAAAAUGGUGCCGUAACUUCGGGAGAAGGCACGCUGAUACGUAGGUGAAGCGACUUGCUCGUGGAGCUGAAAUCAGUCGAAGAUACCAGCUGGCUGCAACUGUUUAUUAAAAACACAGCACUGUGCAAACACGAAAGUGGACGUAUACGGUGUGACGCCUGCCCGGUGCCGGAAGGUUAAUUGAUGGGGUUAGCGCAAGCGAAGCUCUUGAUCGAAGCCCCGGUAAACGGCGGCCGUAACUAUAACGGUCCUAAGGUAGCGAAAUUCCUUGUCGGGUAAGUUCCGACCUGCACGAAUGGCGUAAUGAUGGCCAGGCUGUCUCCACCCGAGACUCAGUGAAAUUGAACUCGCUGUGAAGAUGCAGUGUACCCGCGGCAAGACGGAAAGACCCCGUGAACCUUUACUAUAGCUUGACACUGAACAUUGAGCCUUGAUGUGUAGGAUAGGUGGGAGGCUUUGAAGUGUGGACGCCAGUCUGCAUGGAGCCGACCUUGAAAUACCACCCUUUAAUGUUUGAUGUUCUAACGUGGACCCGUGAUCCGGGUUGCGGACAGUGUCUGGUGGGUAGUUUGACUGGGGCGGUCUCCUCCUAAAGAGUAACGGAGGAGCACGAAGGUUGGCUAAUCCUGGUCGGACAUCAGGAGGUUAGUGCAAUGGCAUAAGCCAGCUUGACUGCGAGCGUGACGGCGCGAGCAGGUGCGAAAGCAGGUCAUAGUGAUCCGGUGGUUCUGAAUGGAAGGGCCAUCGCUCAACGGAUAAAAGGUACUCCGGGGAUAACAGGCUGAUACCGCCCAAGAGUUCAUAUCGACGGCGGUGUUUGGCACCUCGAUGUCGGCUCAUCACAUCCUGGGGCUGAAGUAGGUCCCAAGGGUAUGGCUGUUCGCCAUUUAAAGUGGUACGCGAGCUGGGUUUAGAACGUCGUGAGACAGUUCGGUCCCUAUCUGCCGUGGGCGCUGGAGAACUGAGGGGGGCUGCUCCUAGUACGAGAGGACCGGAGUGGACGCAUCACUGGUGUUCGGGUUGUCAUGCCAAUGGCACUGCCCGGUAGCUAAAUGCGGAAGAGAUAAGUGCUGAAAGCAUCUAAGCACGAAACUUGCCCCGAGAUGAGUUCUCCCUGACCCUUUAAGGGUCCUGAAGGAACGUUGAAGACGACGACGUUGAUAGGCCGGGUGUGUAAG
This 2861-nucleotide ribosomal RNA is filed under the name Shigella flexneri. RNAcentral describes it as "partial 23S ribosomal RNA". It matches the Rfam family "Bacterial large subunit ribosomal RNA". Lineage: Bacteria; Pseudomonadati; Pseudomonadota; Gammaproteobacteria; Enterobacterales; Enterobacteriaceae. The record is from RNAcentral.